AUUAGAGUUUGAUCAUGGCUCAGGACGAACGCUGGCGGCGUGCCUAAUACAUGCAGUCGAGCGAAUCAUUAGGAGCUUGCUCCUGAUGGUUAGCGGCGGACGGGUGAGUAACACGUGGGCAACCUGCCUGUAAGACUGGGAUAACUUCGGGAAACCGGAGCUAUACCGGAUAAUCCUUUUCCUCUCAUGAGGAAAAGCUGAAAGACGGUUUCGGCUGUCACUUACAGAUGGGCCCGCGGCGCAUUAGCCUAGUUGGGUUAGGUAACGGCUCACCAAGGCGACGAUGCGUAGCCGACCUGAGAGGGUGAUCGGCCACACUGGGACUGAGACACGGCCCAGACUCCUAUCGGGAGGCAGCAGUAGGGAAUCUUCCGCAAUGGACGAAAGUCUGACGGAGCAACGCCGCGUGACGAUGAAGGCCUUCGGGUCGUAAGAUUCUGUUGUUAGGGAAGAACAGGUCCCGGAGUAACUGCCG
Molecule: ribosomal RNA, 475 nt
Filed under: uncultured bacterium
Lineage: Bacteria
Description: bacterial SSU rRNA
Rfam family: Bacterial small subunit ribosomal RNA
Source: RNAcentral